GAGUAAAGAUUUCGGUCGCUUUGGGAGGAGCUCGCUUACUAUCAGCUUGUUGGUAGGGUAAUGGCCUACCAAGGCUAUGACGGUUAGGGGGUGUGAGAGCAUGACCCCCAGCAUUGGCACUGAAACACUGGCCAAACACCUACGGGUGGCUGCAGUCGAGAAUCUUCCACAAUGGGGGAAACCCUGAUGGAGCGAUGCUGCGUGCGGGAUGAAGGCCUUCGGGUUGUAAACCGCUUUUGUAGGGGACGAAAUUUUUGACGGUACCCUUUCGAAUAAGAGGUUGCUAACUCUGUGCCAGCAGCAGCGGUAAUACAGAGACCUCAAGCGUUAUCCGGAUUUACUGGGCGUAAAGCGUCUGUAGGGGGUUUAUUAAGUUCCAAGUAAAAUUUCAAGGCUCAACUUUGAAUUCGCUUGGAAAACUAAUAAACUGGAGUCUAGCAGAGGUGCAUGGAACUUGUGGUGUAGGAGUGAAAUCCGUUGAUAUCACAAGGAACACCAAAGGCGAAGGCAUUGCACUGGGCUAGCACUGACCCUGAGAGACGAAAGCGUGGGGAGCAAAACGGAUUAGAUACCCGUGUAGUCCACGCCCUAAACGAUGAAUGCUAAAUGUUCGGGGAUUCGACCCCCUGGGUGUUACAGCUAACGCGUUAAGCAUUCCGCCUGGGAAGUACGGCCGCAAGGCUAAAACUCAAAGGAAUAGACGGGGAUCCGCACAAGCGGUGGAGCGUCUGGUUUAAUUCGACAGUAAGCGUGGUACCUCACCAGGGUUUGACAUCCCUUGACAGCCUUGGAAACAAGGUUUCCUUCGGGCAAGGUGACAGGUGCUGCAUGGUCGUCGUCAGUUCGUGCCGUGAGGUGUUCCGUUAAGUCGGGAAACGAACGAAACCCCUAUUGCAUGUUACAAUUUCUCAUGCAAGACUGCCCGGAUAUACUGGGAGGAAGGUGGGGAUGACGUCAGAUCUGCAUGGUCCUUAUACCCUGGGCGACACAGGCGCUACAAUGGCAGAGACAAAGGGUUGCAAAACCGCAAGGUGAAGCUAAUCCCAAAAACUUUGUCUAAGUUCGGAUUGAAGGCUGCAAUUCGCCUUCAUGAGGCUGGAAUCGCUAGUAAUCGUGAAUCAGCCACGUCACGGUGAAUAUGUUCCCGGAUCUUGUACUCACCGCCCGUCACACCAAGAGAGUUGGUAGCUCCCGAAG
RNAcentral lists this ribosomal RNA (1197 nucleotides) under uncultured organism. RNAcentral describes it as "bacterial SSU rRNA". It matches the Rfam family "Bacterial small subunit ribosomal RNA", at positions 199 to 1426 of the family's 1533-position model. The record is from RNAcentral.